ACAGAAUGCAACAGAACUGUCCCUGCUGCAGAAGUCUCAGGGUUCUGCCCCAACUGCAUAGACUUCUUUCAUGGAACCGGCUCCUCUAUCCCCACAAGGCUUCUCCCCAGCACAGCUUCUACCUAGAAUCAGACGGAGAGCUUUAGACCAGGUAAGAACUCUGGGCCAAUGUAAAUCAGGAGCGCCAGGCUGUCCCAGCCUCUGCCCUGACUUGCUCUAUGAGUUUGGCAAAUUCCUUAAUCUGCCCAUGCCUCUCUUUCUGUGUUGUUAACAUGAUGAUGUUGGCCUAGAGCAGGGGCUGGCAAACUUUUUAUGUAAAGAGACAAAUAUAAUAUUUUAGGCUUGUAGACCACAUGGUCAGUAUCUCUCUCAACUAUCCAAAGCCACCACUGUAGCAUGAAAGCAGCCACAGAUGGGUUGUAAAUGGAGGGGCGUGGUUGUAUUCCAAUAAAACUUUAUUUACAAAGACAAGUGGUGAACAAGAUUGGCCAGUGGACUGUAUUUUGCCAACUCCUGGACUAAAUCUCUAAGGAUCUUUGCAACACUGAAAUACCGUACUACCUGGAUUGUUUUACAGAGAGAAAACGGAGGCGUGGUGACACCAAGUGACAUGCUCCAAGCCGCUGAACAUGUUGGUGGCAGAGCUAGAACUCGACACCAAGUCUCCUGGCUUUAGUCCACUGUGGCUCUCAAUCCUCGCACACGCAGAGCACAGACCGUUUUUGGUACACGAGGCUUACCCUGGGAACUGCCCUCCCUCUGUGGCUUGGCGAGGGGGGUCGGGGGAAAGGGUAGGGAGGAUGUGAGGGGUGGGGAGCAGUGCUCUCUCUGCCUGUUUCAGGAAGGCUCUCUGGUUUGGUGAGAGCCCACACUUUGUUAAGUGAGAUAAGGGACACUACAAGAAAAGGAGGGGGUGGGUGGGCAGAGGACAUCACGCUGCUUAUUUUGAACCUGGGAAAACUGUGCCUUAGGAGAGGGAAGUCCUGCAUAUUUCAUGCUGUGACUUCUUGCUUCCAAACUGCGUAUGCUGGCCUCCUUUUCACCCAGAUGGUGCUGCAGGGAACAAGGCCCCACCAGUGUGUGCUCUUCCUGUGUGUCCAAAUUUCCACCAAAGAGGGCUCCUCCCAGGAGAUUGGCUGCCGAACCUGUUCUUCCACGGCAGAAGCGGCGCAGCUAGCCCAGCACGACUCUGCUUAUUGUUACGCUUCUGCCACAUGUGUGUAAAUUUGUAAGGAACUUGCCGCUCCUGGCUGAAGACCCAGGGAGCUUUUGCGCUGUUAAUCUGUUUUCCUUUUUGCCCUCAGCCUUUGCUCUUCAGGGGAGAGGCCGUCGAUAAGGUCCAAUGGGGUGGGGUGACACCUCUUGGGCUCAGAAUCUCAAGGGUCCCAAGGUCCAGUCAGUGAGAGCCUUCUGUCUACAUGCCACCCUGUCCCCUCUGUGUGGAGCCCUCAGCAGGACCCUGGCCACAGGGCUCUGGAGCAAUAAUAUUACCCCAUGACAACUGUCGUGACUGCUACCUCAAAAAGUAAGACAGUCCUGCCAUCUACGUUCAUGGAGCUCCGAGGAGCAGCUCAGUUCUGUUUGUUGUGACAGGAUUUUAUAGCAAAAUUUGCAUGAAAGACAUGAAGCUCAGCAAUUGGUUUGCGACAGAGGCGUUUUCUUGCCAAAUGAGGAAGUGAGAUGAUCAGAACUGGCUUUAGCAUGAGCCUGGAUUGGGGAACUCAGCUGGUUCUGGGCUCAUACAACUUCACCUGUGAAGGUAUAUGGAAUUCAUGGUCAGCCCACAUCUUCUAGCUGCAGGUUCAGUUCAGGGUGAUCCCUACCUGGAGUUCUAGACUACCAGGCCAGUUUUGGAGGGUCCCGAAGGUAUGAAUAAGUGGUCCUGCAAACCCCAGCCCACCCUCACAUAUCCUAAAAGAAACUAUGGCAGUUGGAGCCUGAGUUUUCUGGGUGACUGCUUCUCUAUCUUUGUCUCUCUCUCUCGCCCACACCCGCCAUUACUGCCAAACUCAGUUGCAAGGAUUCCUGACCUAUUUUUGCUCUCUAGCCUCUGCCUUUGCUGACAAUGUCAGCCUCUGCUUUGAAAGCCCUUCCCUCUCUGGGCUGCUUCCAUUAGUCCUUCAGCUUCCGAAUCUUAUGGCUCUCACCAUCCCUUUCCUUGUGUUUCUGUUAUUCAUAUCCCAAAGCCCUUCCAAAUAGUGAUAUUCUCCAGGGCAAGGAUCCUCUCCAAUUUAUUAUCAUAUCCCUGGAUCCUCCUAUGACCUUUGGCAUAGCUGUUGGAGGAGUGAGCAGAUGAGUGAGUAAGUAACUGAUCUUCUCCUCACCCAUCCUCAGAGGAAGACCACGGGACAGGUGUGAGUGGUGCCUCCCAAAGAUACUCCAAAUACCAACCCCUAGCACCUGUGGAUGUGACUUUAUUUGGAAAUUGGGUCUUGGCAGAUGUCAUUAAGUUAAAGAUCUUGAGAUGAGAUCAUCCUGAAUUUAGAGUGGGCCUUAAAUCCUGAUAAAGAGACAGAAAAAGAGAAGACACAGAGACAUACACAGGAGAGAGCCAUGUGAAGCCAGAGGCAGAGAUUGGAAAGAUUUAUCUAUAAGAAAAGCCAAGAACUGCCAGAAGCUAGGAGAGAGGCAUGGGAUAAAUUUUCCCAUUCCUCACACCAUUCACAAAAAUUAACUUAAAAUGGAUCAAAGACUCAAAUGUAAAGCUAAAAUUAUGAAAACCCCUAAAAGAAAAGAUGGGAUAAAUCUUAAUGACCUAGCAUUAGGCAAUGGUUUCUUAGAUAUGACUCCAAAAGCAUGAGCAACAAAAGAAAAAAUAGUUAAGUUGGAUUUCAUUGAUACUAAAAAUAUUUGUAUUUCUAAGAACACCACCAAGAAAGUAUAAAAGACAGCCAAAAGAAUGGGAGAAAAAUUUUGCAAACCAUAUAUCUGAUAAGGGGUUUGUAUCUAGAAUAUAUAAAUAACUCUUAAAACUCAAUACUAAAAAGACAAUGAACACAAUCUGAAAACGGUCAAAAGACUAGGUGCAGUGGCUCACACCUGUAAUCCCAGCCCUUUGGGAGGCUGAGGCGGGAGAACUGCUUAAGCCCAGGAGUCCUCAUCAAUUUCUUUUUGGGCAGGAAUGUUGUUGCAUGCCUAUAGUUCCAGUUACCCUGAAGGCUAAGGUAGGAGGAUGGCUUGAGCCUAGGUGUUUGAGGUUACAGUGAGCUAUGAUUGUACCAUUGCUCUCCAGCCUGAGCAACAGAGAGACACUUGUUCUCUCUUUUUUUUUUAAAUAAAGGCAAAAGAUCUGAAAGCUAUUUCUCCAUAAGACUAUAUACAAUGAUCAAUAAACACAUAAAAAGAUGAGUCAUUAGCUAUCAGGGAAAUGCAAAUAAAAACCACAAUGAAAUUAUAUAACACUAGAUGGCUGUCAUAAAAAAGACAAAUAAUAAAAAUUGUUGGUGAGGGUGUGGAGAAAUCAGAAUUCUCAUACGCUGCUGGUGGAAAUGUAAAAUAGUGGAGAGACUCUGGAAAACAGUCUGGCAAUUCCUCAAAAGGUUAAACAUAGAGUUACCACAUAAGCCCAUUCUAUUCCAUUUCUAGGUAUAUAACCAAGAGAAAUGAAAACAUACACCCAUGCAAAAAUUUGUGCCAAAAGUUCAUAGUAACAUUAUUCAUAAUAGCCAAAAAGCGCAAACAACCCAAAUGUCCCAAAUGUCUAUCAAGUGAUGAAUGGAUUAAAAAUUGUGUUAUACCCAAACACCAGACUAUUACUCAGCCAUACGAAGGAGGUGCGCACUCACGUUACAACACAAAUAAACCUUGAAAAUAUUAUACUAAGUGAAAGAAGCUGGUUACCAAAAAAACCCCCACAUAUUAUAUGAUUCGAUUUAUAUGAAAUGUCCAGAAUAGGCAAAUCCAUACAAGCACAAAGUAGAUUCUUGGUUUCCCAGGGCUGGAGAUGGAGGAGAUGAGGGAAGUUAAGGGGUGACAGCUGAAAGGGUGACAGCUAAAAGGGAUGGAGGUUUCUCUGAGAGGCUGGGGAAGAUGUUUGAAAUUGUACUGUGGCAAUGGUUGGUGGCACAGCUCUGUGAAUAUAGUAAAAGCCACUGAGUGGUACAAUUGAAACCA
Molecule: long non-coding RNA, 4113 nt
Filed under: Homo sapiens (human)
Lineage: Eukaryota; Metazoa; Chordata; Mammalia; Primates; Hominidae
Description: HSALNT0317180
Source: RNAcentral